Small nucleolar RNA from Pangasianodon hypophthalmus (striped catfish), 213 nucleotides. RefSeq annotates it as small nucleolar RNA U3. The transcript has a single exon. The record is from RefSeq and is a predicted model, not a curated record. NCBI's taxonomy places the organism in Eukaryota, Metazoa, Chordata, Actinopteri, Siluriformes, Pangasiidae.
AUGCCUGUACUUUCAGGGAUUGUUUCUGUAGUGUCUUACUAGGAACUGUGACUUGGAAGUGUUAUAUUUCUCUAAUCGCAAUGAUGAGUUUUGAUGCAUUCUUCUGAACCUGUAUUAGGUUUUAGCGCAUGAUUCUUUCAUGGGUUAUAACUAUUGAUGAAUGUUCUCUACUUCUUAUGAAGUAUGGGUGGAAGAGUACAUGCUCUGAGUGAU